UUAAGAAUUACGUUUGGAUAAGCUCUUUUAAGUCUCAUAAGAACAGUUAAGCAGGUCUUUCCCCUCAAGUUAUGUAGAAAGGGGAAACAUUCAGUAGUUUUGAUCCAGUCAGUCUGACUCCAAACUCAAAAUGACUGACUAUGGACUACUAUCUCUAAUUCACAGAUUCUCCAAUGAAAGCUCAAGAGGAGAGAAUACAAAACAAGAACGGCAGAAGGUCCAUUGCAGCACCUAUUAGGCAAACAGAAUGGGCUCUAUCCUUUCAUACCAGAGGGAGAAGACCUGGCAGUGUUUCCCGUCUAUUUAAAUGCCUAGAACUCAGUCACACGGCUGCCCCCUGGACUGGAAGACCAUCAGACAUACUGUUAACCAAGCAUUUGGAUUCCAUUCUUUUUCCAGUACUGUAGUAAAAUUACAGAUGUUCUUUCCAUUUUAACUGCUAAGCCCUUUAACAUCUGCUCGCUCUCGUGUAUUACUUGGACAAGACCUCGCCAUGCAUCAUCAAC
This 506-nucleotide long non-coding RNA is filed under the name Bos mutus (wild yak). RNAcentral describes it as "lncRNA (ENSBMUG00000013859.1)". Lineage: Eukaryota; Metazoa; Chordata; Mammalia; Artiodactyla; Bovidae. The record is from RNAcentral.